AAGUCGUAACAAGGUUUCCGUAGGUGAACCUGCGGAAGGAUCAUUAUACGUUUAUCCAACGUACCAACCACCGUGCACUUUGUUUAUCAAAGUUGUGAAGUUGUGUAGCUUUUGUGUUUGUUGGCUGUGUUGAGUGUGUUUAAGUGGCACUCAAUCAGUCGGCCUUCUGUUGCUUCGGCGGCAGAGUCGAGCUACAUUGACUCAAACCAUUUUAUUUUAUUCAAUUAAAACGCAUUGUAAUCACUUGUACUAAUUACGAAAAACAUCUGGCUUUUGACGUCUUCGGACGACGAAAACAAGAUGGAAUUAAGACAUUAAUUGCUGAACAACUCUUAGCAACGGAUAUCUUGGUUCUC
RNAcentral lists this unclassified non-coding RNA (356 nucleotides) under fungal sp. RNAcentral describes it as "partial internal transcribed spacer region". The stretch from base 1 to 46 matches the Rfam family "Eukaryotic small subunit ribosomal RNA", at positions 1786 to 1831 of the family's 1831-position model. Lineage: Eukaryota; Fungi. The record is from RNAcentral.